This 436-nucleotide ribosomal RNA is filed under the name uncultured bacterium. Its description in RNAcentral is "partial 16S ribosomal RNA". It matches the Rfam family "Bacterial small subunit ribosomal RNA", at positions 338 to 795 of the family's 1533-position model. The record is from RNAcentral.
CCUACGGGUGGCAGCAGUGGGGAAUAUUGCACAAUGGGGGAAACCCUGAUGCAGCGACGCCGCGUGAGUGAAGAAGUAUCUCGGUACGUAAAGCUCUAUCAGCAGUGAAUUGACUGUACCUGCAAAGGAAGCACCGGCUAACUCCGUGCCAGCAGCCGCGGGAAGACGGAGGGUGCGAGCGUUAAUCGGAAUUACUGGGCGUAAAGCGCUCGUAGGCGGUAUGUCAAGUCAAGUGUGAAAUCCCCGCGCUGAACGUGGGAACUGCCUUUGAAAAUGGCAAACUGGAGUGGUGGAGAGGAUAGUGGAAUUCAAGGUGUAGGAGUGAAAUCCGUAGAUAUCUGGAGGAACAUCAGUGGCGAAGGCGACUCUCUGGCACAUAACUGACGCUGAGGAGCGAAAGCGUGGGUAGCAAACAGGAUUAGAUACCCGUGUAGUC